AUACGGAGGGUGCGAGCGUUAAUCGGAAUUACUGGGCGUAAAGCGUGCGUAGGCGGUUUGCUAAGUCAGAUGUGAAAGCCCCGGGCUUAACCUGGGAACUGCAUUUGAUACUGGCAGACUAGAGUAUGCUAGAGGGGGGUAGAAUUCCUGGUGUAGCGGUGAAAUGCGUAGAUAUCAGGAGGAAUACCAGUGGCGAAGGCGGCCCCCUGGAUCAAUACUGACGCUGAGGUACGAAAGCGUGGGGAGCGAACAGAAUUAGAAACCCUAGUAGUCC
Molecule: ribosomal RNA, 274 nt
Filed under: uncultured bacterium
Lineage: Bacteria
Description: partial 16S ribosomal RNA
Rfam family: Bacterial small subunit ribosomal RNA
Source: RNAcentral